GAUGAACGCUGGCGGCGUGCCUAAUACAUGCAAGUCGAGCGAACGGACGAGAAGCUUGCUUCUCUGAUGUUAGCGGCGGACGGGUGAGUAACACGUGGAUAACCUACCUAUAAGACUGGGAUAACUUCGGGAAACCGUAGCUAAUACCGGAUAAUAUUUUGUACCGCAUGGUUCAAAAGUGAAAGACGGUCUUGCUGUCACUUAUAGAUGGAUCCGCGCUGCAUUAGCUAGUUGGUAAGGUAACGGCUUACCAAGGCAACGAUGCAUAGCCGACCUGAGAGGGUGAUCGGCCACACUGGAACUGAGACACGGUCCAGACUCCUACGGGAGGCAGCAGUAGGGAAUCUUCCGCAAUGGGCGAAAGCCUGACGGAGCAACGCCGCGUGAGUGAUGAAGGUCUUCGGAUCGUAAAACUCUGUUAUUAGGGAAGAACAUAUGUGUAAGUAACUGUGCACAUCUUGACGGUACCUAAUCAGAAAGCCACGGCUAACUACGUG
This 497-nucleotide ribosomal RNA is filed under the name uncultured bacterium. RNAcentral describes it as "partial 16S ribosomal RNA". It matches the Rfam family "Bacterial small subunit ribosomal RNA", at positions 28 to 507 of the family's 1533-position model. The record is from RNAcentral.